Non-coding RNA from Poecilia formosa (Amazon molly), 76 nucleotides. The record is from Rfam. NCBI's taxonomy places the organism in Eukaryota, Metazoa, Chordata, Actinopteri, Cyprinodontiformes, Poeciliidae.
GGUUCUAUGGUGUAAUGGUCAGUUAGCACUCUGGACUCUGAAUCCAGUGAUCAGAGUUCAAGUCUCAGUAGAUCCA